Eptesicus fuscus (big brown bat) is the source of this 4956-nucleotide RNA transcript. It is a transcript of the gene named ataxin 2, with no coding region annotated. NCBI's taxonomy places the organism in Eukaryota, Metazoa, Chordata, Mammalia, Chiroptera, Vespertilionidae. The record is from RefSeq and is a predicted model, not a curated record. The transcript has 26 exons.
GCGCCCGGCUCCCGGCUGUCCCCGCCCGGCGUGCGGGCCGGUGUAUGGGCCCCGCACCAUGUCGCUGAAGCCCCAGCAGCAGCAGCAGCAGCCGUCCGCGGCCGCCAGUGCCCGCAAGCCCGGUGGCGGCGGCCUUCUCACGUCGCCCGCCGCCCCGCCGUCCUCGCCCUCGGUCUCGUCCUCGGCCCCGGCUUCCUCCUCCUCGGCGGCGGCGGCGGCGAGCGCAGGCAGCGGGCGGCCCGGCCUGGGCAGAGGUCGAAACAAUAACAAGGGACUGCCUCAGUCUACGAUUUCUUUUGAUGGAAUCUAUGCAAAUAUGAGGAUGGUUCAUAUACUUACAUCAGUUGUUGGAUCCAAAUGUGAAGUACAAGUGAAAAACGGAGGUAUAUAUGAAGGAGUUUUUAAAACAUACAGUCCUAAGUGUGAUUUGGUCCUUGAUGCUGCACAUGAGAAAAGUACAGAAUCCAGUUCAGGGCCAAAACGUGAAGAAAUAAUGGAGAGUAUUUUGUUUAAGUGUUCAGACUUCGUUGUGGUACAGUUUAAAGAUAUGGACUCCAGUUAUGCAAGAAGAGUUGCUUCAGAAACAGAUGCUUUUACUGACUCAGCUAUCAGUGCUAAAGUGAACGGUGAACACAAAGAGAAGGACCUAGAGCCCUGGGAUGCAGGAGACCUCACUACCAGUGAGGAGCUAGAAGCUUUGGAAAAUGACGUCUCUAAUGGAUGGGAUCCCAAUGAUAUGUUUCGAUAUAAUGAAGAAAAUUAUGGUGUAGUGUCUACAUAUGAUAGCAGUUUAUCUUCAUAUACGGUGCCCUUAGAAAGGGAUAAUUCAGAAGAAUUUUUAAAACGAGAAGCAAGAGCAAACCAAUUAGCAGAAGAAAUUGAAUCAAGUGCCCAGUACAAAGCCCGCGUAGCCCUGGAAAAUGAUGAUAGGAGCGAGGAAGAAAAAUACACAGCAGUUCAGAGAAAUUCCAGUGAACGUGAGGGUCACGGCAUAAACACUAGGGAAAAUAAAUAUAUUCCUCCUGGACAAAGAAAUAGAGAAGUCAUGUCCUGGGGAAGUGGGCGACAGAAUUCACCGCGUAUGGGCCAGCCUGGAUCGGGCUCCAUGGCAUCAAGAUCCACUUCUCACACGUCAGAUUUCAACCCGAAUUCCGGUUCAGACCAAAGAGUAGUUAAUGGAGGUGUUCCCUGGCCAUCGCCUUGCCCAUCUCCUUCCUCUCGCCCACCUUCUCGCUACCAGUCAGGUCCCAACUCUCUUCCACCUCGGGCAGCCACCCCUACACGGCCGCCCUCCAGGCCCCCCUCGCGGCCAUCCAGACCCCCGUCUCACCCCUCUGCUCAUGGUUCUCCAGCUCCUGUCUCUACUAUGCCUAAACGCAUGUCUUCAGAAGGGCCUCCAAGGAUGUCCCCAAAGGCCCAGCGACACCCUCGAAAUCACAGAGUUUCUGCUGGAAGGGGAUCCAUUUCCAGUGGAUUAGAAUUUGUAUCCCAUACUCCACCGAGUGAAGCAGUGGCUCCUCCAGCAGCAAGGACCAGUCCAGCGGGGGGCACGUGGUCAUCUGUGGUCAGCGGGGUUCCAAGAUUAUCCCCCAAAACUCACAGACCCAGGUCUCCCAGACAGAACAGUAUUGGAAAUACUCCUAGUGGACCAGUUCUUGCUUCUCCCCAAGCUGGUAUUAUUCCCACAGAAGCUGUUGCUAUGCCUGUUCCAGCUGCAUCUCCCACGCCUGCCAGUCCUGCAUCUAACAGAGCUGUCACCCCAUCUAUUGAGGCUAAGGAUUCCAGGCUUCAAGAUCAGAGGCAGAACUCUCCUGCAGGGAAUAAGGAAAACAUGAAGCCCAAUGAGACAUCACCCAGCUUCUCAAAAGUUGAAAAUAAAGGUAUAUCACCAGUUGUUUCCGAGCAUAGAAAACAGAUUGAUGACUUAAAGAAAUUUAAGAAUGAUUUUAGGUUACAGCCAAGUUCUACUUCUGAAUCUGUGGAUCAACUGCUAAACAAAAAUAGAGAGGGAGAAAAAUCAAGAGAUUUGAUCAAAGACAAAAUUGAACCAAAUGCUAAGGAUUCUUUCCUUGAAAAUAACAGCAGCAACUGCACCAGUUGCAGCAGCAAGCCGAACAGCCCCAGCAUUUCCCCCUCAAUCCUCAGUAACACGGAGCACAGGAGGGGGCCUGAGGUUACUUCCCAAGGAGUUCAGACUUCCAGCCCAGGAUGUAAACAAGAGAAAGAUGAUAAAGAGGAGAAAAAAGACGCAGCUGAGCAAGUGAGGAAAUCAACAUUGAAUCCCAAUGCAAAGGAAUUCAACCCUCGUUCUUUUUCUCAGCCAAAGCCUUCCACCACCCCAACUUCGCCUCGUCCUCAAGCACAACCUAGCCCAUCCAUGGUGGGUCAUCAGCAGCCAACUCCAGUUUAUACUCAGCCUGUUUGUUUUGCACCAAAUAUGAUGUAUCCAGUCCCAGUGAGCCCAGGCGUGCAACCUUUAUACCCUAUACCUAUGACACCCAUGCCAGUGAAUCAAGCCAAGACAUAUAGAGCAGGUAAAGUACCAAAUAUGCCCCAACAACGGCAAGACCAGCAUCAUCAGAGCACCAUGAUGCACCCCGCCUCAGCGGCAGGCCCACCCAUUGUGGCCACCCCACCAGCUUAUUCCACACAGUACGUGGCCUAUAGUCCUCAGCAGUUUCCAAAUCAGCCUCUUGUUCAGCACGUGCCCCAUUAUCAGUCUCAGCAUCCUCAUGUCUACAGUCCUGUAAUACAGGGCAAUGCCAGGAUGAUGGCACCAGCAGCACACGCCCAGCCGGGUCUCGUAUCUUCCUCAGCUGCUCAGUACGGGGCUCACGAGCAGACACAUGCGAUGUAUGCAUGUCCCAAAUUACCAUACAACAAGGAGACAAGCCCUUCUUUCUACUUUGCCAUUUCCACUGGCUCCCUUGCUCAGCAGUAUGCGCAUCCUAAUGCUACCCUGCACCCACAUACUCCACAUCCUCAGCCUUCAGCCACCCCCACUGGCCAGCAGCAAAGCCAACAUGGUGGAAGUCACCCUGCACCCAGUCCCGUCCAGCACCAUCAGCACCAAGCCACCCAGGCUCUCCACCUGGCGGGUCCACAGCAGCAAUCAGCCAUUUACCACGCGGGGCUCGCGCCAACCCCGCCGUCCAUGACACCUGCUUCCAACACGCAGUCGCCACAGAACAGUUUCCCAGCAGCACAGCAGACGGUCUUCACAAUCCACCCUUCUCACGUCCAGCCGGCGUACACCAACCCGCCCCACAUGGCCCACGUACCUCAGUACAAGCCCACCACCAACAGCAGUUGUAAGGCUGCCCUGGAGGAACCGAAAGGCCAAAUUCCCUCCUCCCUUCUACUGCUUCUACCAACUGGAAGCACAGAAAACUAGAAUUUCAUUUAUUUUGUUUUUUAAAAAUAUAUGUUGAUUUCUUGUAACAUCCAAUAGGAAUGCUAACAGUUCACUUGCAGUGGAAGAUAUUUGGACUGAGUAGAGGCAUUUAGGAACUUGUGGGCUGUUCCAAUUCCAUAUGCUGUUUCCGAGUCCCGCAAGUACCCCAGCUCUGCUUGCUCAAACUGGAAGUUAUUUAUUUUUAAUAACCCUUGAAAGUCAUGUAUACAUCAGCUAGCAAAAGUAACAAGAGUGAUUCUUGCUGCUAUUACUGCUAAAAAAAAAAAAAUCAAGACUUGGAACACCCUUUUACUAAACUUGACAAAGUUUCAGUAAGUUCUUACCGUCAAACUGACGGAUUAUUAUUUAUAAAUCAAGUUUGAUGAAGUGAUCACUGUCUACAGUGGUUCAACUUUUAAGUUAAGGGAAAAACUUUUACUUUGUAGAUAAUAUAAAAUAAAAACUUAAAAAAAAUUAAAAAAUAAAAAAAGUUUUAAAAACUGAUAUCCAGUUAGUGUGUGUUUGUAUAAGCUUCUAGUUAAUACCAAGGCAGGAAGGCUGUGUUUUCUUAAUAUCCUGGAAGGUUAGUUGUCAAAUGAUUUUUCUUCUUCACCUUUAGUUCUGGUUCAAGGUCUCUCUAGAAAAAGACAAGACUGAGAUAUUCUCUUUGGUGGAUAGAGGUCCGCUUCAGAAGGAGGAAGGCUGGCCAGAGUUGGGCAGCAUUGAUACUCCACAUCCUCAGCCUGACGCUGAUCCUAAAUGAUCAGAGGCAGAAGAUUUAUACCAGAUAAAGCCAUAUGGAUUGCUGGUCUAAAAUUCAAGGCAGGUUAGUUGACUUAAUUCUUUGGUGCUGGUGACUGUUAGUUUGUAAAAGUUCGUUAAAGUCAGAUUCAGGAGGUGACGGUGCUGAGCAGUCCCCUGGCUGUUGUCUGGUUGGAGAGAACUGCAGCGGUCGCGGUACUUACUGUCCCUUUGGCACUCACAGCCGGGCUUUCCGUGGAGGUGCUGGCUUGGCCUCUUGAGGCCAGCGGUGGUCACAUCAGGACUGGAAGGAGGGUGGCAUGUGCUGCCAUGCUGUGAGCUAGCUACAGCCAGCAGGGUCACUGUGAGGGCAUCAGCCCAGGGACCCACUGCUCCCUCUCCUCCAGCUCCACCUGCUCUAGCAGAAAGGAGGAGCCUGGCUUGGGUCACUCCUUCCCAGCUGUGGAGGGCUUUCUGUGGGGUGUGUUUGAGGUGUCCUGGUAACUCGGACAUGUUUGGAAAGGAAAUGUUUUCCUUGAACAUUUAUACUGGAGCAGCCUGGAGGUGGUGACUUGCAGCUCUCUUAGAAUCUGAGCUGGUACUUGGCAGCCAGUGGGUCAGAGCUGAGCCACUAGUUUGCUGCCUCUUGGUACGUACUACCUGAGACGUCUAUGCUGAGACUGCUUAGAAGUGGGUGCCCCUGGCUUGAAGAGGUCAUAGCCCAGAUGUGGAGGGAGGGGGUAUGCGUGGUUCAUUGUCUAUUUUGCCCUUUUUCUGCACCAGUGACUCGUCAGCAUGGACUUUGUGAUGAGCUUUAUCUU